RNAcentral lists this ribosomal RNA (226 nucleotides) under uncultured bacterium. RNAcentral describes it as "partial 16S ribosomal RNA". It matches the Rfam family "Bacterial small subunit ribosomal RNA", at positions 538 to 763 of the family's 1533-position model. The record is from RNAcentral.
GCGUUGUUCGGAAUUACUGGGCGUAAAGCGCGCGUAGGCGGCUUUGUAAGUUAGAGGUGAAAGCCCGGAGCUCAACUCCGGAACUGCCUUUAAGACUGCAUCGCUAGAAUUGGGUAGAGGUGAGUGGAAUUCCGAGUGUAGAGGUGAAAUGCGUAGAUAUGCGGAAGAACACCAGUGGCGAAGGCGACUCACUGGACACAUAUUGACGCUGAGGUGCGAAAGCGUG